UAAUAAUAAGUUGUAUGAAACCUUUAAA
This 28-nucleotide non-coding RNA is filed under the name Mus musculus (house mouse). The record is from RNAcentral. Lineage: Eukaryota; Metazoa; Chordata; Mammalia; Rodentia; Muridae.